This is a long non-coding RNA of Solanum tuberosum (potato), 640 nucleotides long. RefSeq lists it as uncharacterized. The transcript has 2 exons. The record is from RefSeq and is a predicted model, not a curated record. Lineage: Eukaryota; Viridiplantae; Streptophyta; Magnoliopsida; Solanales; Solanaceae.
ACACCUAAUAAUAUAUCCAAACAAAUCGAAAUAGCCCAAAUUCUCUUUACUCACUCGCAAUAGGCAAAUCCUAGCUCGUCGGUGUUCUUCGUCGAUUCUUCUUCAAUCUUUGCUUAUGUGAUAUUAGUUGUGAUUUCAGCUGUCACAAUGUCUGAAUCAAACCUUACACCAUGUCUGAAACUAGUUGUGAUUCAAUUAGUAACUCAAUGAUGAUGACUUGCUUUGGUGGUGAAAUUGCUCGUUGUUUCACUUCAAGGACUUCAUUGAACCCCGAAGAAGAUUUCAUAGGUGUUCUAAACCUAAGUGAGAAUAUAGUUCUCCGGAAAAUGCUUUGAUUGAAGUAAAUUUAUUGAAGUCUAAAUUGGAAGUGGCUACAGUGAAAAUGGAGAAUUUGAGAGAGUCGUAGAAUGCGGUUAAGAUUGAAAGAGACAAUUUGAAUAUUUUUUGAGAGUAUAAACUACUUCAAGGUGAACAAAUCAAGAAAUUUGAAAGCGAAAGUGUUGAAGUUGAAGAUGUUGUGAAUAUUGUCAUUUGUUGUGUUUGUGGUAUUUAUUGUUGCAAUUUUCAAGUGAUCUAGUUUUGUGCAAGUGUAUAUUUUUCUUGGUUACAAUUUUCAAGUAAGGAAGAAAUAUUUCCUUUA